UCAUGAACUAUCAUCACAAAAGGCAUUAGGAAAUAAAUCAACAAGUGAAAACAACCACUUAAAAGUUCAAAUUAACUUCCAAAAGUGCAACGAAAGCAAUUGAUGAAGAAAAUAGUAAACAUUCUUCCACUUCAGAUGACGAAAGUUGUAACCUUGCAACAACGAAAAA
Long non-coding RNA from Agrilus planipennis (emerald ash borer), 169 nucleotides. RefSeq lists it as uncharacterized. The transcript is spliced from 2 exons. NCBI's taxonomy places the organism in Eukaryota, Metazoa, Arthropoda, Insecta, Coleoptera, Buprestidae. The record is from RefSeq and is a predicted model, not a curated record.